RNAcentral lists this ribosomal RNA (503 nucleotides) under Candida tropicalis. RNAcentral describes it as "eukaryotic LSU rRNA". The stretch from base 144 to 297 matches the Rfam family "5.8S ribosomal RNA". The record is from RNAcentral. Lineage: Eukaryota; Fungi; Ascomycota; Pichiomycetes; Serinales; Debaryomycetaceae.
GAGGCAUCUGAUGCUUAUUGCACCACAUGUGUUUUUUAUUGAACAAAUUUCUUUGGUGGCGGGAGCAAUCCUACCGCCAGAGGUUAUAACUAAACCAAACUUUUUAUUUACAGUCAAACUUGAUUUAUUAUUACAAUAGUCAAAACUUUCAACAACGGAUCUCUUGGUUCUCGCAUCGAUGAAGAACGCAGCGAAAUGCGAUACGUAAUAUGAAUUGCAGAUAUUCGUGAAUCAUCGAAUCUUUGAACGCACAUUGCGCCCUUUGGUAUUCCAAAGGGCAUGCCUGUUUGAGCGUCAUUUCUCCCUCAAACCCCCGGGUUUGGUGUUGAGCAAUACGCUAGGUUUGUUUGAAAGAAUUUAACGUGGAAACUUAUUUUAAGCGACUUAGGUUUAUCCAAAAACGCUUAUUUUGCUAGGGGCCACCACAAUUUAUUUCAUAACUUUGACCUCAAAUCAGGUAGGACUACCCGCUGAACUUAAGCAUAUCAAAAGACGGGGAGAAA